This 467-nucleotide ribosomal RNA is filed under the name uncultured bacterium. Its description in RNAcentral is "partial 16S ribosomal RNA". It matches the Rfam family "Bacterial small subunit ribosomal RNA", at positions 28 to 507 of the family's 1533-position model. The record is from RNAcentral.
GACGAACGCUGGCGGCGUGCUUAACACAUGCAAGUCGAACGGAAAGGCCCUGCUUUUGUGGGGUGCUCGAGUGGCGAACGGGUGAGUAACACGUGAGUAACCUGCCCUUGACUUUGGGAUAACUUCAGGAAACUGGGGCUAAUACCGGAUAGGAGCUCCUGCUGCAUGGUGGGGGUUGGAAAGUUUCGGCGGUUGGGGAUGGACUCGCGGCUUAUCAGCUUGUUGGUGGGGUAGUGGCUUACCAAGGCUUUGACGGGUAGCCGGCCUGAGAGGGUGACCGGCCACAUUGGGACUGAGAUACGGCCCAGACUCCUACGGGCGGCAGCAGUGGGGAAUGUUGCACAAUGGGCGGAAGCCUGAUGCAGCAACGCCGCGUGCGGGAUGACGGCCUUCGGGUUGUAACCGCUUUCGCCUGUGACGAAGCGUGAGUGACGGUAAUGGGUAAAGAAGCACCGGCUAACUACGUG